AUGAAAUAUUUGGCUGGUUUAUGGAGAACGGCUGCACAUCUGUGUGUGUGUUUCAGGGACCCAUGUGUGAUCUGCUGUGGUCAGACCCUGAUGAUCGCGGUGGCUGGGGAAUCUCUCCACGUGGAGCUGGUUACACGUUUGGACAGGACAUUUCUGAGACCUUCAACCACGCUAACGGCCUCACGCUGGUGUCCCGCGCUCAUCAGCUGGUCAUGGAGGGAUACAACUGGUGUCAUGAUAGGAACGUUGUCACUAUCUUCAGUGCGCCAAACUACUGCUAUCGCUGUGGCAACCAGGCAGCCAUUAUGGAACUGGACGAUACUCUUAAAUAUUCAUUCCUUCAGUUUGAUCCAGCUCCUCGACGCGGAGAACCUCACGUCACCCGCCGCACCCCUGACUACUUCCUAUAAGCGAGCACUGGCCUGCCACGAAAGAGCUCUGAAGCAAGCGCAAAAUGAUGACAAAUCUAAACGUCUAUAUAUCUAUUCAUCCAAUGUGUAUAUAAAAUGGGAGAAAUGUUCUGACACUGCAACACUAACACGGACCAAAAUGUGCCAUACAAGCAUUUAAUGCCCAAAUCCGAUCGCUUUGUCUCAGUACUGCUACAAAGUGUUUCGUUUUAGCCUAUAGUGCAAAUUGCCUGCUGUAUACAAUAGAGAUGCUCCUUUCGUUCUUCAAUUGUAAAUUACUCGGAGUAAAAAAAAAAAUCACAGUAUCACUGGAUUUAAAAAAAAGUCCUUUAAGUUGGCAAUGCCAGGCAUGUGAAAAACGGUAACAUUUCAUACAAGUGCACAAGCUAACAUCCUUUCCUGUAUCUUCACCAAAAAAAAAAACAAAAAAAAAAUCCUAUUGGGAAGGAAUGUUGAAACCGAAGGAUGUGCCUCUUCCAUUUUGGGAGUGUAUACACAAGUGUAUAUGGACUUUAUCUGACUGUCCCUCUUUGUCUGAUCUUACCAUUUUCUUUUCUUUUGUGUUACCUGUCUUCUGUAUUUGUCAAUAAGUGAUAGCCUCUUCUUUGGUGUAUUUGAACUAAUAAACUACUUUUAAUCACAAGCUACUCCAAAGCUACACACUAGUUGUGCUUUUAUUUGAAAUUGAUAGUUAAUGUUAUC
RNAcentral lists this long non-coding RNA (1112 nucleotides) under Sinocyclocheilus anshuiensis. Its description in RNAcentral is "lncRNA (ENSSANG00000041709.1)". The record is from RNAcentral. Lineage: Eukaryota; Metazoa; Chordata; Actinopteri; Cypriniformes; Cyprinidae.